This 559-nucleotide long non-coding RNA is filed under the name Gouania willdenowi (blunt-snouted clingfish). Its description in RNAcentral is "lncRNA (ENSGWIG00000024724.1)". Lineage: Eukaryota; Metazoa; Chordata; Actinopteri; Blenniiformes; Gobiesocidae. The record is from RNAcentral.
UAAAGGAAGCCACCCCUUCCGGUCCAUUCUUCCUAUCAUUAUUAAAGUCUAAUGGAGUCAGAUUAGAGAUGAAACCAAGGAUUCCCGUUUCCAGAGGUUUCUCUGUUCAUACGUUUGGCUCUCAGAAAACCUCCAGCCAAGCUGAUGAGUCAUACCCGGACCUGCAGACCACCGUAGACCAGGGUCAAUCCUCCGUUCAGAACGUGGCUAAUGGACGUGGGAACCAGCGUGGAGGGGAUAAAUCUCGGUCCAUUUUGAAAGUGAAGUUCCCCAAACUCCACCUUCGCCCUUUACUGAAGAAGACGGUUGAGGACGAAGAAACUGCAGUGAAAUGGAGGAAAGAGCCGAGGAGCAGAAAACCCAGGACAGCACAGCAUGGAGGAGCAACAGGUGCUGACAAUGACUGUGGUUCUGCUGAGGAAAGUGUGUUCUUCUUUUCUCAAAAAUCCAACCUUAAAUCCACAAACGAAACUGAAAAGGAAUAAAGAAAAUUAUAUUAUAGAAAAUGUGGAGAAAAAGAAUGCAACAUCCUAAAUAAAGAGGAAAAUCAAAGACUUCA